UAUUCUAUUGCAUUUCAAAAUCAAAGUUUACUUUUUUUUUUCUUUUUUUACUUUUAGAGACAUUUGCUUAUUACCAUGAUCAGCAGAAUAUCUUAAAGGAGAAUGUGCAGAAUUAUUCAAGGAAAAAAAGUGACAACAAGUCUGUGAAGGAAACAUCCUGGAACCAGAACCAUGUCUUUGUAUUUGAAGAGUUCACAACAGCACAAGAGAAAGGGUAUAAGUUUGGACUGAGUUCAUAUCUUCAAGAGAUGGGUUAGUACUAUUUAUACAUUAUCACUUAAAAAUGUUUUCUUUACAUGUGGAACUAAAAAAGUUACUUUUAAAGCCAGGGAGAAUGAUCUUUUUAGGAUGUUAACUUUGAUAAGGGCCGGUAUUUCUGAUUCACAGCACUGUAAAAAGAAAA
RNAcentral lists this long non-coding RNA (403 nucleotides) under Junco hyemalis (dark-eyed junco). RNAcentral's name for it is "lncRNA (ENSJHYG00000012191.1)". Lineage: Eukaryota; Metazoa; Chordata; Aves; Passeriformes; Passerellidae. The record is from RNAcentral.